This 480-nucleotide ribosomal RNA is filed under the name uncultured bacterium. RNAcentral's name for it is "bacterial SSU rRNA". It matches the Rfam family "Bacterial small subunit ribosomal RNA", at positions 28 to 521 of the family's 1533-position model. The record is from RNAcentral.
GAUGAACGCUGGCGGCGUGCCUAAUACAUGCAAGUCGAACGAGGUGCUUUUGUAGCAAUACGAGAGUAUCCUAGUGGCGAACGGGUGAGUAACGCGUGGAUGACCUGCCCCAAAGUGUGGGAUAACAGUCCGAAAGGAUUGCUAAUACCUCAUGUGGUUAUCGGUUUUAGAAAGCGAUAACUAAAGCAGCAAUGCGCUUUGGGAGGGAUCUGCGUCCCAUCAGCUAGUUGGUGAGGUAACGGCUCACCAAGGCGACGACGGGUAGGGGACCUGAGAGGGUGGCCCCCCACAAUGGAACUGAAACACGGUCCGUACACCUACGGGUGGCAGCAGUAGGGAAUAUUGCUCAAUGGGCGAAAGCCUGAAGCAGCAACGCCGCGUGUGCGAUGAAGGCCUUGGUCGUAAGGCACUUUCUAAGAGAUGAGAAAGGACAGUAUCUUAGGAAUAAGUCUCGGCUAACUACGUGCCAGCAGCCGCGGU